RNAcentral lists this long non-coding RNA (448 nucleotides) under Dasypus novemcinctus (nine-banded armadillo). Its description in RNAcentral is "lncRNA (ENSDNOG00000052805.1)". Lineage: Eukaryota; Metazoa; Chordata; Mammalia; Cingulata; Dasypodidae. The record is from RNAcentral.
CUGCUAUUUUGCCCAGUUUCCAAACCCCGAUCUCUGAGUCAAUUUUAUGAGAUUGCUGGGCUCUGUUUGCUUGGCGACCUGGAAAUGCGCCCCAGGCUGCAAGCUGCUGCGACGAGAGGGCUCGCCUCGUUCGUUUCCCCUCAAGGUUGUUUGGUGGCGGUUGCCCCGUGGAGGACACCCGGACACCAGCUGGGAUAGCAGAAGGACAGCUGCCCCGUGCUGGGAGAAGCGUGCUUCCUGGGCAGGGAGAGCGCCACGAGGCAAGUGGAGAGCAAGGAAGAGACCGUGGGGCAGAGAGGACCCGCGCAGCCUCUCUCGAGAGCUGCUCAGUCUGCUCACACCGUGUCCACGCGGGCAUCCCUGGGCAGGCUGCCCCGGGCCCGGAUGCCAUCUGGGCCGCUUGCUCCUCCACCCUGCACCUGGCCCUCCCUGGGCCUCCAGCCCGAGU